CCCAGCACCAGAUACCUUGUUGUUCCUGCAAUGCAUUGACUGAGAGUAUCAGCUGACAGUGGUUAUGGUGAUUGGAGUAUUCCUUUAAGAGCUUCAUUCUUCUACGCAUUUUGGGUUUAAUAUCGACACAAUAUCUGAAAGAUUGGUAGAUAUCCACGCGUUACAAUUGGUGUGAGUAUAUUGGAUUCAUAUAAUAUGCAUGAGUUGUAAUACUGGCAAAUGUGAAAAUGGGGAUUUAUUUAAUUUCAUUCUGUUUUUUAGUUGAUUUUAUGGUUUAAUGGGACAUUACAUAUCCUCCAGUGAUACACAUGAAGUGCACUCUGGGAAGUUGGCCAAGGACUUUUUUGUUGUUGUUGACCCUUUGGGUGCCUGAGAUUGGGCCAAUGCCUUGCAAAGCAGAGCGAUGGGCAUGUCCCUGGCACGCACAGGGUUACAUUUAUCCAUUUGCUAAAAAAUUAAACUGAAAUGUUCUGCAGCGUCCGGUGAGUGAACAUUUACAUUGAACCAUAUUGUUUUUUCUAUUUGCGUUUUAGUCGUUCUUACAAAAUGCUGCAGUAGUGUGUAAGAAAGAAAAGGACAAAAUUGAUUUCUAUGUUAUAAAAGCGGCAGUCCGCAGGGUUUCAGGCUUCAAAUGGACAACAGUGAGGUUAAAAUGCAAUUUUCGGAGAACGAUGGUUUCAGCACUGACGAAAAAAACGUUUCACUUUUUAGGCUGAACUCAAUGGGAGAGGAUGAAGUGUGUUGUAAAAAACCUAGCGAUAAUUAGGAGAGAAAAAUGCACAUUUUUAAAAAAAUAGAAUUAGCUUUUUAUUACCAAUAUCAAUGUAGAAGACCAGAAUCUGUGACAUUUAAUUCUAAUAUAAAAUAGCUGCUAGAUUAAAGCAGGACUCGCUCUGUUUAUACACUAGAUAAAUCCAUAGAUAGAUAGAAGCAGGGCUCGCUCUGUUUAUACACUAUAUAAAUCCAUAGAUAGAUAGAAGCAGGGCUCGCUCUGUUUAUACACUAUAUAAAUCCAUAGAUAGAUAGAAGCAGGGCUCGCUCUGUUUAUACACUAUAUAAAUCCAUAGAUAGAUAGAAGUAGGCUCGCUCUGUUUAUACACUAUAUAAAUCCAUAGAUAGAUAGAAGCAGGGCUCGCUCUGUUUAUACACUAUAUAAAUCCAUAGAUAGAAGCAGGGCUCGCUCUGUUUAUACACUAUAUAAAUCCAUAGAUAGAUAGAAGCAGGGCUCGCUCUGUUUAUACACUAUAUAAAUCCAUAGGUAGAAGCAGGGCUCGCUCUGUUUAUACACUAUAUAAAUCCAUAGAUAGAUAGAAGCAGGGCUCGCUCUGUUUAUACACUAUAUAAAUCCAUAGAUAGAUAGAAGCAGGGCUCGCUCUGUUUAUACACUAUAUAAAUCCAUAGAUAGAUAGAAGCAGGACUCACUCUGUUUAUACACUAUAUAAAUCCAUAGAUAGAAGCAGGGCUCGCUCUGUUUAUACACUAUAUAAAUCCAUAGAUAGUAGCAGGGCUCGCUCUGUUUAUACACUAUAUAAAUCCAUAGAUAGAAGAAGGGCUCGCUCUGUUUAUACACUAUAUAAAUCCAUAGAUAGAUAGAAGGGAUAGCUCUGUUUAUACACUAUAUAAAUCCAUAGAUAGAUAGAAGCAGGGCUCGCUCUGUUUAUACACUAUAUAAAUCCAUAGAUAGAUAGAAGCAGGGCUCGCUCUGUUUAUACACUAUAUAAAUCCAUAGAUAGAAGCAGGGCUCGCUCUGUUUAUACACUAUAUAAAUCCAUAGAUAGAUAGAAGCAGGGCUCGCUCUGUUUAUACACUAUAUAAAUCCAUAGAUAGGUAGAAGCAGGGCUCGCUCUGUUUAUACACUAUAUAAAUCCAUAGAUAGAUAGAAGCAGGGCUCGCUCUGUUUAUACACUAUAUAAAUCCAUAGAUAGAUAGAAGCAGGGUUCACUCUGUUUAUACACUAUAUAAAUCCAUAGGUAGAUAGAAGCAGGGCUCGCUCUGUUUAUACACUAUAUAAAUCCAUAGAGAAGCAGGGCUCGCUCUGUUUAUACACUAUAUAAAUCCAUAGAUAGAAGCAGGGCUUGCUCUGUUUAUACACUAUAUAAAUCCAUAGAUAGAUAGAAGCAGGACUCGCCUGUUUAUACAUAUAAACUCAUAGAUAGAUAGAAGCAGGGCCGCUCUGUUUAUACACUAUAUAAAUCCAUAGAUAGAAGCAGGGCUCGCUCUGUUUAUACACUAUAUAAAUCCAUAGAUAGAUAGAAGCAGGGCUCGCUCUGUUUAUACACUAUAUAAAUCCAUAGAUAGAAGAGGGCUCGCCCUGUUUAUACACUAUAUAAAUCCAUAGAUAGAUAGAAGCAGGGCUCGCUCUGUUUAUACACUAUAUAAAUCCAUAGAUAGAUAGAAGCAGGGCUCGCUCUGUUUAUACACUAUAUAAAUCCAUAGAUAGAAGCAGGGCUCGCUCUGUUUAUACACUAUAUAAAUCCAUAGAUAGAAGCAGGGCUCGCUCUGUUUAUACACUAUAUAAAUCCAUAGAUAGAAGCAGGGCUCGCUCUGUUUAUACACUAUAUAAAUCCAUAGAUAGAAGCAGGGCUCGCUCUGUUUAUACACUAUAUAAAUCCAUAGAUAGAUAGAAGCAGGGCUCGCUCUGUUUAUACACUAUAUAAAUCCAUAGAUAGAUGAAGCAGGGCUCACUCUGUUUAUACACUAUAUAAAUCCAUAGAUAGAUGGAUAGAAGCAGGGCUCACUCUGUUUUAUACACUAUAUAAAUCCAUAGGAUAGAAGCAGGGCUCUUUCUGUUUAUACACUAUAUAAAUCCAUGAUAGAAGCAGGGCUCGCUCUGUUUAUACACUAUAUAAAUCCAUAGAGAUAGAAGCAGGGCUCGCUCUGUUUAUACACUAUAUAAAUCCAUAGAUAGAUAGAAGCAGGGCUCGCUCUGUUUAUACACUAUAUAAAUCCAUAGAUGAUAGAAGCAGGGCUCGCUCUGUUUAUACACUUUAUAAAUCCAUAGAUAGAUAGAAGCAGGGCUCGCUCUGUUUAUACACUAUAUAAAUCCAUAGAAAGAUAGAAGCGGGCUCGGCUCUGUUUAUACACUAUAUAAAUCCAUAGAUAGAUAGAAGCAGGGCUCGCUCUGUUUAUACACUAUAUAAAUCCAUAGAUAGGUAGAAGCAGGGCUCGCUCUGUUUAUACACUAUAUAAAUCCAUAGAUAGAUAGAAGCAGGGCUCGGUCUGUUUAUACACUAUAUAAAUCCAUAGAUAGAUAGAAGCAGGGCUCAUUCUGUUUAUACACUAUAUAAAUCCAUAGAUAGGUAGAAGCAGGGCUCGCUCUGUUUAUACACUAUAUAAAUCCAUAGAUAGAUAGAAGCAGGGCUUGCUCUGUUUAUACACUAUAUAAAUCCAUAGAUAGAUAGAAGCAGGGCUCGCUCUGUUUAUACACUAUAUAAAUCCAUAGAUAGAUAGAAGCACGGCUCGUUCUGUUUAUACACUAUAUAAAUCCAUAGAUAGAAGCAGGGCUCGCUAUGUUUAUACACUAUAUAAAUACAUAGAUAGAUAGAAGCACGGCUCCUCUGUUUAUACACUAUAUAAAUCCAUAGAUAGAUAGAAGCAGGGCUCGCUCUGUUUAUACACUAUAUAAAUCCAUAGAUAGAUAGAAGGGGCUCGCUCUGUUUAUACACUAUAUAAAUCCAUAGAUAGAUAGAAGCAGGGCUCGCUCUGUUUAUACACUAUAUAAAUCCAUAGAUAGAUAGAAGCAGGGCUCGCUCUGUUUAUACACUAUAUAAAUCCAUAGAUAGAUAGAAGCAGGGCUCGCUCUGUUUAUACACUAUAUAAAUCCAUAGAUAGAUAGAAGCAGGGCUCGCUCUGUUUAUACACUAUAUAAAUCCAUAGAUAGAUAGAAGCAGGGCUCGCUCUGUUUAUACACUAUAUAAAUCCAUAGAUAGAUAGAAGCAGGGCUCGCUCUGUUUAUACACUAUAUAAAUCCAUAGAUAGAUAGAAGCAGGGCUCGCUCUGUUUAUACACUAUGUAAAUCCAUAGAUAGAUAGAAGAAGGGCUCGCUCUGUUUAUACACUAUAUAAAUCCAUAGAUAGAUAGAAGCAGGGCUCUAUUGGGUUGUAACACCCAUUACGCUCAGCCAGGUUUAUUUCCUAAACCGUUAACCAAAUGAUUCUUGCUCUGCUUUAGUAAGUGUCUCAAGCAGUUACAAUUCAAUGUCCUUUAGAACCAUUGGACCAAAUGCAAUGACUCUUGACACAAAGCUUAUUUUACUUUGUUCUAGGUUUUUUUUGUCAAACUAAUAUCGAUUGUUGCCUUUGUUUGGGG
Molecule: non-coding RNA, 4308 nt
Organism: Pelobates cultripes (western spadefoot toad)
Lineage: Eukaryota; Metazoa; Chordata; Amphibia; Anura; Pelobatidae
Source: the annotation of a GenBank genome assembly